GGCUGAAACUCGCCUACAUGAAGCUGGAGUUACUAGUAAUCGCAGAUCAGAAUGCUGCGGUGAAUGCGUUCCCGGGUCUUGUACACACCGCCCGUCACACCACGGAAGUUGGGGCGCCCGAAGCCACUUAGCUAACCCUUUGGGAAGCGAGUGUCGAAGGUGAAAUCAAUAACUGGGGUGAAGUCGUAACAAGGUAUC
Molecule: ribosomal RNA, 198 nt
Filed under: uncultured bacterium
Lineage: Bacteria
Description: partial 16S ribosomal RNA
Rfam family: Bacterial small subunit ribosomal RNA
Source: RNAcentral